This 426-nucleotide ribosomal RNA is filed under the name uncultured bacterium. RNAcentral describes it as "bacterial SSU rRNA". It matches the Rfam family "Bacterial small subunit ribosomal RNA", at positions 354 to 796 of the family's 1533-position model. The record is from RNAcentral.
GUGAGGAAUUUUCCGCAAUGGGCGAAAGCCUGACGGAGCAAUGCCGCGUGAAGGAUGAAGGCCUAUGGGUUGUAAACUUCUUUUCUCAGAAAAGAAUUAUGACGGUAUCUGAGGAAUAAGCAUCGGCUAACUCUGUGCCAGCAGCCGCGGUAAGACAGAGGAUGCAAGCGUUAUCCGGAAUGAUUGGGCGUAAAGCGUCUGUAGGUUGUUUAAAAAGUAUUCUGUCAAAGAUUAGGGCUUAACCCUAGAUAGGCAGAAUAAACUUUUAAGCUAUAGUUGGGUAGAGGCAGAGUGAAUUCCCGGUGGAGCGGUGAAAUGCGUAGAUAUCGGAAGGAACACCAAAGGCGAAGGCACUCUGCUGGGCCAAUACUAACACUGAGAGACGAAAGCGAGGGGAGCAAAUGGGAUUAGAUACCCGAGUAGUCC